This 497-nucleotide ribosomal RNA is filed under the name uncultured bacterium. RNAcentral's name for it is "partial 16S ribosomal RNA". It matches the Rfam family "Bacterial small subunit ribosomal RNA", at positions 28 to 507 of the family's 1533-position model. The record is from RNAcentral.
GAUGAACGCUGGCGGCGUGCCUAAUACAUGCAAGUCGAGCGAACAGACGGGGAGCUUGCUCCUCUGACGUUAGCGGCGGACGGGUGAGUAACACGUGGAUAACCUACCUAUAAGACUGGGAUAACUUCGGGAAACCGGAGCUAAUACCGGAUAAUAUAUUGAACCGCAUGGUUCAAUAGUGAAAGACGGUUUUGCUGUCACUUAUAGAUGGAUCCGCGCCGCAUUAGCUAGUUGGUAAGGUAACGGCUUACCAAGGCAACGAUGCGUAGCCGACCUGAGAGGGUGGUCGGCCACACUGGAACUGAGACACGGUCCAGACUCCUACGGGAGGCAGCAGUAGGGAAUCUUCCGCAAUGGGCGAAAGCCUGACGGAGCAACGCCGCGUGAGUGAUGAAGGUCUUCGGAUCGUAAAACUCUGUUAUUAGGGAAGAACAAAUGUGUAAGUAACUAUGCACGUCUUGACGGUACCUAAUCAGAAAGCCACGGCUAACUACGUG